GCAAGGACCAAGAUGAUCUCACACACGCAUCUCCUCUGGCUCCUCGUGCUCGGGGUUCAGGGCUCCAAUGGGGACGUUGUGCUGAUUCAGACUCCAGAGUCCCUGACGGUGGCUCCUCAAGACACAGUCACCAUCACCUGCAAUGCCGGUUCAUACACUAGUAGUAGCAUAGCCUGGUACCAACAGAAAUCAGGGAAAUCUCCUAAGCUUCUCAUCCACAGCACGAGCUCCCGUGCCUCUGGGAUCUCAGACCGCUUCAGCGGUGCUAGGUCAGGCAGUGACUACACUCUCACCAUCAGCCGGGUUGAAGCAGGUGAUGCUGGAGAUUAUUACUGCCAGUACCAUGGUAAUACCCCUCUCACAUCUCUCUAG
Non-coding RNA from Alligator sinensis (Chinese alligator), 372 nucleotides. Lineage: Eukaryota; Metazoa; Chordata; Crocodylia; Alligatoridae. The record is from the annotation of a RefSeq genome assembly.